AAAGUUUCUAAAAUCUUGAAUGAUUAGAAUAAAGGUUAAAGAAUAAAACCUAGAUGAGAAUUUGAGAAUUUAUUUAAAAUUUUCAAGAAAAACCUAUAUGGUUUGAUAUUCGAAUGAGAAUAGAGAAAAUAUGGGUUACAAAAUUCCAAAACCCUAGAAAUGAAUCAAUAUGUACUUGAAGGAAUAUUAAGAAUAAGGUAUUACGAUACCUUUAAAUUCGAUGUGAACGGAAUAGUCUAAAAAAAAAUGUUAUAUAAGUACAUAUGGAAAUUUUAUUAUUGGAGAUAAGAUUUCACAUGAAGAGAUGCUAUGAGGUUAAACGAAGAUGAGUAUAUGUAUAGAAAUAUAUAUACUUAGUAAGGUGCUAUAUAUAUUUUAGCAAGAGGAAUGAUGAAUUAAGUUAAUGAUAUAAUGAU
This 416-nucleotide long non-coding RNA is filed under the name Panax ginseng (ginseng). RNAcentral's name for it is "long non-coding RNA (PGIN_LNC007084)". The record is from RNAcentral. Lineage: Eukaryota; Viridiplantae; Streptophyta; Magnoliopsida; Apiales; Araliaceae.